AUGGCCACCACGCACCAUCGCCCCCUCCACGCCCUCACGCACCCUCGCCCAGUCGCCGACCUGCUCCUCUGGAGGCGGAGGAAUGCCUCCAUGGCGGCCGUCGCGGGCGCCACACACCCUCGCCCAGUCGCUGACCUGCUCCUCUGGAGGCGGAGGAACGCCUCCGUGGCGGCCGUCGCGGGUGCCACGCUCGUCUGGUUCCUCUUCGAGCGCGCCGGGUACAGCCUCACAUCGGUCCUCUCCAACGCCGUCCUCCUCCUUGUCAACAUCCUCUUAUUCUGGGCCAAGUCUGCCUCGCUGCUCAACAGGUCCGUCCCUGCAUUUACUCCCCACUUUGCUCUGCCUGGCGCCCGGCCUGCCCUGCUACUCCAGUCCAGACUCCACAGUAGGAGCAGCUCUCGUUCGGGAUCUGAUCCAGAACUAAACUGCUCCCCUGUCUUGCUAUGGUCGUUUGAGAUCUUUGCUUUCCCAUGCAACCAGUUUGGUGGGCAGGAACUUGGCAUUGAUAAGGAAAUUGUUCAGAUUGCUUGCACACGUUUCCAUGCCGAGUAUCUGAUUUCUGACAAGCCUCUUUCGCACCCAUUGUGUCGAGGACCAAUGCCAGGUUCUGGUGGCGACGAGGACGGUCGUCGAGAGAACCGGCGCCACCUCACCCAAGGAAGAGCCCACGGACUAUUCGCCCGCACCGCAUGCCGUCGUCGACCGGGGAAAGGGCCGGACCAGACUCAAGACGCGCACACACCUCCACCACCACAACCACGCCACCAGCACUACCCACCGGUCUACGGCAGGGCCGGCCGCCCGCAGCCCCUGCUGGCCUCAGCCCUCGCCGUCGAACGGGUCGCCAGUGCCAGAUCAGGCAGGAUCGAACCGGGGCCGCCCCACACGAACCGCUCGCAGGACGAGGCCCUGACUCCACCGCACAUCCGUCGCGGUACCGAUGAGCGCCCACGCCACCAGCGUCGCAACCCGCAGUACCGCCGCCGCGCCCUGCACACAGCGCCGCACCCCUGCUGGACCUGCAGCACCCCACGCCACCAGAGACAGACAGGAAGGAGAAAUCCCCCGCCGCCACCCAGGCCAACCAUGCUUCGCCCGGCGGCCCUCGCGGGCAGCAGCGAGGAGGGGGAAGACCGGCGGAGGCGAGGGGAGCCGGGGCAAAAGAAGCCCGCCCGGCUGCCAUGGGGUGGCGGCACGGAUGAGCGGGAGGGCGGAGUCGCGAGAUCCCUCCACGGAAAUCAACACCCAACAUCAAUUUUCCCGUUGCAAUAUGUGCUAAACCAGAGUCCCCAUCCCAUUCACUUACGCAGCAACAGCAAGCCGCCACCAGCCACCGGCCACCGGCCCGUCGUCAUCGGCGGCAGCCACCGCUGUAGGAUGCAGGCACCAGCAGCUACUGCAAUCGCUCCACUCGCUUCUUCUUUUUUCCUGACGCAAGCACAGCAGCACUGCGACCCCAUGAAUCUCGUCGUCGACGGUCGACCAGGGAUGCUGCAACGCGAAUCUCGCCACGGCAGCGGAGCUACAAUGCAACAAGAAGUGUGUGCACGUGGAUGUCGCCGGCGGCCUGCCAUGCAACAUGCGUGGUGCUGCCUUCUCGCAGACCUAGCUGGCCGGGGGAGCUGCAGUGCAACAUGUGUGCGCUGCCCGUCGGCGGGUGAAGUUGUGAUGCAACGGGCGUGCUGCUGCGCGCGGGGCGACGGAGCUGCAGUGCGACGGGGGCGACGCAGCGACCAGGGGAUCUCAUGCCUCGUUGUAAGCCGAUGUUGUCGCCGGCAGUGCUACGAUGCAGCAAUCAUCGGCGUUUCGGUGCUGCUGGCAGCGAUGGGCAGAGCGCGCCGAUGCUGCAACCUAGCACUCGCCGACGAUGGAAGUUGGGAUGGGCGUGGUGCUGUGCUGCGCGCCGGCGCAGCGGGGCUGCAGUGCAACGGGGCAACGUUGUGA
RNAcentral lists this ribosomal RNA (1944 nucleotides) under Triticum aestivum (bread wheat). RNAcentral describes it as "partial small subunit ribosomal RNA". The record is from RNAcentral. Lineage: Eukaryota; Viridiplantae; Streptophyta; Magnoliopsida; Poales; Poaceae.